RNAcentral lists this transfer-messenger RNA (368 nucleotides) under Mycobacteriaceae. Its description in RNAcentral is "Mycobacterium sp004362315 Standard tmRNA". It matches the Rfam family "transfer-messenger RNA". From Rfam's summary of the family: Bacterial tmRNA, also known as 10Sa RNA or SsrA, is named for its dual tRNA and mRNA-like properties. Its role is to liberate the mRNA from a stalled ribosome. To accomplish this part of the tmRNA is used as a reading frame that ends in a translation stop signal. RNAcentral also lists the same sequence under 1 other name. Lineage: Bacteria; Bacillati; Actinomycetota; Actinomycetes; Mycobacteriales. The record is from RNAcentral.
GGGGCUGAACGGUUUCGACUUCGCGCAUCGAAUCAAGGGAAGCGUGCCGGUGCAGGCAGGGACCACCGUAAGCGUCGUUGCAAACCAAUUAAGCGCCGAUUCCAAUCAGCGCGAUUACGCUCUCGCUGCCUAAGCGAAGCUAAUCCGUCAGACCGGGAGUGCCCUCGACCCGGACCCUGGCGUCAUCUAGAGGGACCCACCCACGGGUUCGGUCGCGGGAUCCGUGGGGACAUCAAACAGCGACUGGGAUCGUCAUCCUGACUUGUUCGCGGGAUCAGGAGAUCCGAGUAGAGGCAUAGCGAACUGCGCACGGAGAAGCCUUGAGGGAAUGCCGUAGGACCCGGGUUCAAUUCCCGGCAGCUCCACAA